This 492-nucleotide ribosomal RNA is filed under the name uncultured bacterium. RNAcentral describes it as "partial 16S ribosomal RNA". It matches the Rfam family "Bacterial small subunit ribosomal RNA", at positions 28 to 507 of the family's 1533-position model. The record is from RNAcentral.
AGUGAACGCUGGCGGCAGGCCUAACACAUGCAAGUCGAACGGAAGCACAGUGCGAGCUUGCGGUUACGGGGGGGGAGUGGCGGACGGGUCAGGAGAAUAUCGGACUCUAGUUUUUCGGGGGGGAUAAGGUAGGGGAACUUACGCCAAGACCGCAGACGACGCAGGGGGGAGAGCGGGGGAUCGUCGGACCGUGCGCGAGUGAACGAGCCGAUGUCGGAUUGGCUGGUUGGCGGGGUAAAGGCCCACCAAGGCGACGAUCCGUAGCUGGUCUGAGAGGAUGAUCACCCGCCCUGGAACUGGGACACGGUCCAGACUCCUACGGGACGCAGCAGUGGCGAAUGUUGGACAAUGGUCGCAAGUCUGAUCCAGCCAUCCCGCGUGUGUUAAGAAGGCGUUCCGUUUGUAAAGCCCUUUUGCUGGGUAUGAACCGCAGUAGGUUAAUACCCCGCUGUUCUGACGGUACCGAAUGAAUAAGCACCGGCUAACUUCGUG